Molecule: ribosomal RNA, 480 nt
Filed under: uncultured bacterium
Lineage: Bacteria
Description: partial 16S ribosomal RNA
Rfam family: Bacterial small subunit ribosomal RNA
Source: RNAcentral
GACGAACGCUGGCGGCGUGCUUAACACAUGCAAGUCGAGCGGAAAGGCCACUUCGGUGGUACUCGAGCGGCGAACGGGUGAGUAACACGUGAGUAAUCUGCCCUUCACUCUGGGAUGGCCACCGGAAACGGUGAUUAAUACCGGAUACGACCACUCCACGCAUGUGGCGGUGGUGGAAACUUUUUGGGUGGGGGAUGUGCUCGCGGCCUAUCAGCUUGUUGGUGGGGUAAUGGCCUACCAAGGCUUCGACGGGUAGCCGGCCCGAGAGGGUGACCGGCCACACUGGGACUGGGACACGGCCCAGACUCCUACGGGAGGCAGCAGUGGGGAAUAUUGGACAAUGGGCGGAAGCCUGAUCCAGCAACGCCGCGUGAGGGAUGACGGCCUUCGGGUUGUAAACCUCUUUCAGCACCGACGAAGCGCAAGUGACGGUAGGUGCAGAAGAAGGACCGGCCAACUACGUGCCAGCAGCCGCCGCCG